UAUGUGAUCGUCUCUCGCAUAUCAAUAAGCGGAGGAAAAGAAACUAACAAGGAUUCCCCUAGUAACGGCGAGUGAAGCGGGAAGAGCUCAAAUUUGAAAUCUUAAAGGGUUUCCCUUUACGAAUUGUAGUUUAAAGAAGUGUUUUCUGUUGAGGUUUUGGUAAAAGUUCUUUGGGAUAGGACAUCAUAGAGGGUGAGAAUCCCGUAUUUGACCUUUACUUUCAACUUUGUGAUACACUUUCAAAGAGUCGGAUUGUUUGGGAAUGCAGUCCAAAAUGGGUGGUAAAUUUCAUCUAAAGCUAAAUAUUGGCGAGAGACCGAUAGCGAACGAGUACCGUGAGGGAAAGAUGAAAAGAACUUUGAAAAGAGAGUUAAACAGUACGUGAAAUUGUCAAAAGGGAAGCGUUUGACACCAGUGUUGUUUUUCUGAAAAUCAAUUAAAGAACUGUUUAUGCUAAGCUGUUUAGACUUUAUCAGCUAAUCUGUUUAGUUUUGAGCUUUUCUUUAAUGCACUUUUCAGUUAACAAGUCAACAUCAAUUUCUUUUGCUGUAAAAAAGCUUGAGGAAGGUGGCUUGAGAUUCGUCUUAAGUGUUUAUAGCCUCUUGCCUAUGCAGUCGGAGAGAUUGAGGUCUGCAGCGUAGAUCCUUCGGGGCUAAAUGCAUUUGUGCUAAGUUAUAGCAUUUUAUAGACAACUUGUUGACUAUGAUUUGUCUUGUAGCUUACUCGCUUAUGUUAUUUUACCUACGCUUAGGAUGUUGAACGCGCACAGAGUCUCA
Molecule: ribosomal RNA, 776 nt
Filed under: uncultured Neocallimastigales
Lineage: Eukaryota; Fungi; Neocallimastigomycota; Neocallimastigomycetes; Neocallimastigales
Description: partial large subunit ribosomal RNA
Rfam family: Eukaryotic large subunit ribosomal RNA
Source: RNAcentral